Molecule: long non-coding RNA, 603 nt
Organism: Asparagus officinalis (garden asparagus)
Lineage: Eukaryota; Viridiplantae; Streptophyta; Magnoliopsida; Asparagales; Asparagaceae
Exons: 2
Source: RefSeq, a predicted model, not a curated record
UCCAAUCCCCCAAAAUAUCUCACAGUAACCAAGGCCCUCCUCUUCUUCAUCUUCAACUCUUCAACCUCCAGGAUCUGAAGUCGAUCUCUCUCUCGCCUCCUCUUCUUCAACUCCCACCUCCAGGAUCUCUCAAAUUCGAAAGAAAGCUCAAGAACUCGAUCCCUCUCUCAACCCGUGAUCCCCUCCCCCAACGGCUCACACGAUUAACCGAGGGUUCGUCGACUUCAUCUUCAUCCUCCAGGAUCUCAUUUGUGGAAGCUAAAAAAAUUUCGAAAUAAAAUUGACGGGCUCAGCGAAAUCCCACGCCCUCUUCUUGAUAAAAGAUGAAGAACUUUUCGGAAGAGUUCAGUGGAGAAGAAGAUGAGGGUUUAGUACAAAGAAGAUGUUAUUGUGGGUUAAUUUGCAACAUAUCAGUGGAUGACUAAUGUAAACGAAUGUUCAAUAUUGAUAUGGUUAUAUGUUAUGGUUCAGUUGUUAUGGUUCACUUGUGAUGUAUGUUUGGCAUGUGUGAGUGUGGUGGUUGCUAUCAAUUGAUUGUGUAUUACAUGUGCUGGUCAAUCUUUAUGAAAGUUCUGGUCAGAAGCGUAUUUAUGUUGCUAUCAA